UACUAACUUCGCGUGAAGGAUGGAAGGGGAGCUCUUUAUGGAUUGUCCCGCAGGGCAAGACAUAAAAGCGGGAACGAACAGCCUGACCCGUA
Molecule: unclassified non-coding RNA, 92 nt
Filed under: Flavobacterium micromati
Lineage: Bacteria; Pseudomonadati; Bacteroidota; Flavobacteriia; Flavobacteriales; Flavobacteriaceae
Description: Flavo-1 RNA
Source: RNAcentral